CCUACGGGCGGCAGCAGUGAGGAAUAUUGGUCAAUGGACGCAAGUCUGAACCAGCCAUGCCGCGUGCAGGAAGACGGCUCUAUGAGUUGUAAACUGCUUUUGUACGAGGGUAAACGCAGAUACGCGUAUCUGUCUGAAAGUAUCGUACGAAUAAGGAUCGGCUAACUCCGUGCCAGCAGCCGCGGUAAUACGGAGGAUUCAAGCGUUAUCCGGAUUUAUUGGGGUUAAAGGGUGCGUAGGCGGUCGGAUAAGUUAGAGGUGAAAUCCCGAGGCUCAACUUCGGAAUUGCCUCUGAUACUGUUCGGCUUGAGGGUAGUUGCGGUAGGCGGAAUGUAUGGUGUAGCGGUGAAAUGCUUAGAGAUCAGACAGAACACCGAUUGCGAAGGCAGCUUACCAAGCUACUUCUGACGUUGAGGCACGAAAGCGUGGGGAGCAAACAGGAUUAGAUACCCGAGUAGUC
RNAcentral lists this ribosomal RNA (460 nucleotides) under uncultured bacterium. RNAcentral's name for it is "partial 16S ribosomal RNA". It matches the Rfam family "Bacterial small subunit ribosomal RNA", at positions 338 to 795 of the family's 1533-position model. The record is from RNAcentral.